UAUUGGACAAUGGGCGCAAGCCUGAUCCAGCAAUACCGCGUGUGUGAAGAAGGCCUUAGGGUUGUAAAGCACUUUCAAUUGGGAGGAAAACCUGCCGGUCAAUACCCGGUAGCUUGACAUUACCUUUAGAAGAAGCACCGGCUAACUCCGUGCCAGCAGCCGCGGUAAUACGGAGGGUGCGAGCGUUAAUCGGAAUUACUGGGCGUAAAGCGUGUGUAGGCGGUUCGUUAAGUCAGAUGUGAAAGCCCUGGGCUCAACCUGGGAACUGCAUUUGAAACUGGCGGACUAGAGUUUAGUAGAGGGGAGUGGAAUUUCAGGUGUAGCGGUGAAAUGCGUAGAUAUCUGAAGGAACACCAGUGGCGAAGGCGACUCCCUGGACUAGAACUGACGCUGAGUACGAAA
RNAcentral lists this ribosomal RNA (402 nucleotides) under uncultured bacterium. RNAcentral's name for it is "bacterial SSU rRNA". It matches the Rfam family "Bacterial small subunit ribosomal RNA", at positions 362 to 758 of the family's 1533-position model. The record is from RNAcentral.